RNAcentral lists this long non-coding RNA (1588 nucleotides) under Canis lupus familiaris (dog). RNAcentral's name for it is "lncRNA (ENSCAFG00040010263.1)". Lineage: Eukaryota; Metazoa; Chordata; Mammalia; Carnivora; Canidae. The record is from RNAcentral.
GGGCACUUUGUAGUUAAGAAAAUGGACUCAAGGGUCACCUGAGUGGCUAAGUUGGAUGAGCAGCAAACUCUUGAUUUCAACUCACAUCAUGAUCUCAGGGUUGUGAGAUCAAGCUUCUUAUCAGUCUCCAUGCUCAGAGGUGAGUCUACUUGAAAUUCUCUCUCUCCCUUUCCCUCUGCCCCUCCACUCACAUUCUUUCUCUCAAAAAAAGAAAAGAAAAUGGACUCACGAUCCUAGCUCUAAAUCCUAGCUCUACCACCAAACAGCUUUGUGAUCUUACAGAUAAUAAUUUGUCCUACUACAUAAGAAGUUUGUAGAUUAUAGGAGUUCAGAGAUGUAAAGCACUUAAGAAGAGUUCUUGGCAUGACAAAUGAUAUGUAAGCAAUUACCAUAGCAUUAAUUUAGUCUCCCUGGGACAGCAACUCUUAAGGCAAAGAAUUGUGUGUAGACAGUUUAUUGGGGAGUAUACCUAGCAGUCACACCUGCCAGUGUUUGUGGGAAGUAGAUUUGAGCAGAAUUUGAACUGAGAUGUAGUUGCAACAAAAGAAACAUUAGCCAACCACCACAGGAGCUCUGGAUCUGGAGCAGAUUUCUGGAGUCAUCAGUUUGCCAUGCAAUGCAGGCUGUCCCUGGGCUGGUAUCUCCGUUCUGUGUCCAGGACAAUUCCUUUCUCUCGAAACUGCAAGCCUCAGUUCCAUCACUUCUGACCUCUUCUCAGGAUUGCCUACGCAGAAAGGAGCUUCUUCCCUUCCAAUGGGGAGCUCUAACCACUGUCAUUCAUGUUCCUCCAAGAGGAUUGACUACUGAUGUAGAAAUUCCAGUAUCACAAGGCAAUAUGCUUUACCAUUGCUAUAAUAAGUUACAAUAAGCUGCAAAAAAAAUGUUAUUAAAGGCAAGUAUUACCAAACUUGAAGCACACAUAUAAAAGUGUAUCCAUUGAAAGACCCCAGGUCCAUUGGACCCUAUGUAACCUACUCUAGACCUCAAACCAGGCUUCUCAGAAUUGGUGAGGAGAUGACUGAAGGCAAAGAUUUGCAAAAUUGAAUUUAUAAUCCCCACUUCGUGUGACAAUCAGAGACCUGGACUCAGAAUUUUGCCUCAUUUGUGGUGGUCUUUCCUUUUUGACCGUCUAUACCUCUUUCAGUUUCUGCUCAGAGGGAUCUAAGUACUCAAACUUGAGUGAUAUGGCUUUUUCUCACCACCCUUGUAAUUUCACUUUUUGUUAGACUGCUAUUUUGUUAUUUCCUUCUGACAAGAAACCACAGCAGAAUUCUGUUCCUGCAUUUGUGGGCUAUUAUACUAAAGAAGUUCCCUUCAUGACCUCCAGAAGCAUUUAUACUCUCAUUCCACUAGAGAGCCUUAGUUAUAUUCAUAUCAAAGAGAAAGCCUAUUGCUGGAUAAAAGAAGACAUUUGAAAAUACACAUCCCUGACAUGGGACUAAUAUCCAGCGUACAUAAGGAACUGCUAUAAAUAAAUAUGAGAAAGAAAAGUUUUCCAGUAGGAAAAUGUGUUAAACAUAUGAAACAGACACGUCACAAAGAGACUAUCCAAACGGUCACUAAAUAUAUAUAUUUAUAUAUAUAUAAA